This 735-nucleotide ribosomal RNA is filed under the name Acinetobacter sp. RNAcentral's name for it is "bacterial SSU rRNA". It matches the Rfam family "Bacterial small subunit ribosomal RNA", at positions 57 to 787 of the family's 1533-position model. The record is from RNAcentral. Lineage: Bacteria; Pseudomonadati; Pseudomonadota; Gammaproteobacteria; Moraxellales; Moraxellaceae.
GCAAGUCGAGCGGAUGAAGUAGCUUGCUACUGGAUUCAGCGGCGGACGGGUGAGUAAUGCUUAGGAAUCUGCCUAUUAGUGGGGGACAACGUUCCGAAAGGAGCGCUAAUACCGCAUACGUCCUACGGGAGAAAGCAGGGGACCUUCGGGCCUUGCGCUAAUAGAUGAGCCUAAGUCGGAUUAGCUAGUUGGUAGGGUAAAGGCCUACCAAGGCGACGAUCUGUAGCGGGUCUGAGAGGAUGAUCCGCCACACUGGGACUGAGACACGGCCCAGACUCCUACGGGAGGCAGCAGUGGGGAAUAUUGGACAAUGGGGGGAACCCUGAUCCAGCCAUGCCGCGUGUGUGAAGAAGGCCUUUUGGUUGUAAAGCACUUUAAGCGAGGAGGAGGCUACCUAGAUUAAUACUUUAGGAUAGUGGACGUUACUCGCAGAAUAAGCACCGGCUAACUCUGUGCCAGCAGCCGCGGUAAUACAGAGGGUGCGAGCGUUAAUCGGAUUUACUGGGCGUAAAGCGUGCGUAGGCGGCCAAUUAAGUCAAAUGUGAAAUCCCCGAGCUUAACUUGGGAAUUGCAUUCGAUACUGGUUGGCUAGAGUAUGGGAGAGGAUGGUAGAAUUCCAGGUGUAGCGGUGAAAUGCGUAGAGAUCUGGAGGAAUACCGAUGGCGAGGGCAGCCAUCUGGCCUAAUACUGACGCUGAGGUACGAAAGCAUGGGGAGCAAACAGGAUUAGAUACCC